This is a long non-coding RNA of Gopherus flavomarginatus (Mexican gopher tortoise), 5767 nucleotides long. RefSeq lists it as uncharacterized. The transcript has 3 exons. The record is from RefSeq and is a predicted model, not a curated record. Lineage: Eukaryota; Metazoa; Chordata; Testudines; Testudinidae.
CCCUGCUCCCUGCAGCACAGCGCCCCCUGCUGAGCCCCCACCCUGCUCCCUGCAGCACAGUGCCCCUUAGCUCUGGAGCCAGCAGUGACAGCCACGGGAGUGAGCGCCCUCUGCUGCGUAUAAGCAGUGCUGCCCCUUGCUGGAGGGGUUCGGGGCCCUGCGUGUUUGUGGCUCUCCCCACCUCGAGACGCCCUGCCCUGGGCCCUCUUUCCUGGGCUCGAUGGAGUGGGGAGGUGGCUGCAGCCCCAAGAUUUGCCCUUGUCCCCUGGGGUUAGCUAGACAGAGAGGCAGCACAGAAGGAAGGUCCUCUCCCCAGUGUGAAUGUGUGUGUGAUCGCAAAGGGACAGCACAUGUAGAGGGAGAGACUGGUGGGGGGGCUCCGUCAUUCGAGGCUCUCAGAACAUUCGACACACACAAAAGAAUGACCUCUCCCAGCGCUGAGGAGAGAACCCAGGAGUCCUGGCUCCCCGUCCCUCCUCCCCAACCCACACUCCCCUCCCAGAGCUGGGGAGAGAACCCAGGAGUCCGGACUCCCAGCCCCCCUCUAAGUCACCCCACUCCCUUCUUGGAGAACCCAGGUGUCCUGAUCCCCUAGCCAUCCCGACUCACUCAACCCCAACAGUGUGAGAGAAAUACAAGACAGACCUGAUGGUGAACGCGAUACACAGAAGAAAGAAAAGAUGUUAGACAAACAGAGAAGCGCAGGGCCAGAAGGGUAAGUGGGGGACCACUAGUUACACUAUAUAAGGAGGGAGGAGCAACCUUUUCAGCUCAAGAACCCCUUUCUUGGCUUUAGCUGGGGUAAGGAGGUCUCCCCCCCCAUUAAUCCGGUAUGUGACCCCCCCUUCCCCAGUCAAUACCCCCACCUGUAUGAAAAGCUAUAGAGAGAACGGUGGGGAAGGCCCGGCCCUGAUUCCAUCUCGUGAUGCUCAGCCAAGGCAGGUAUGAAAUCGGGCUGACGGGGUCUGCACGCUUGGUCCGAACGGCAGCACGGGGUGGACCACGGCAGGGCCCACAAGGGUCAGCUGGAGAGGAAGAAGUGCCAGGACCCAGUUGAGGACAGGGAGAGGUGAAGAAAGAGAAAGCGGCAGGGAGCAGGAGAGAGACUGAAAAGUACCGUGAGCCAUUGAGAGCUGGAGAGAGCUAGGCAGAAAGAUGGAGAGGAAGUUCUAGCGAGUUGAAGAGAGUCAGAUAGAAAGUUGUCGAGAGCCAGACAGUUGGCCAGAGCCAGCGAGAAAGUUGGGGAGAGCCCAAGAAGAAGUUGUUCGGAAUGGCAGCGCGGCAGACGGAAAGGUGCGGAGAAAACUGUAGCGAGCGAACACAACAAAAAGCCACCACAGAAACCAUGAGAACGAAAGGAAAACAGACAACAAACGACAGAUGAGAGCAGAACAAAAGGCAGCGGAAUAAAGGGCACACACCACAAUCUCAAACCAGAGGACAAGGAAGUUCAACCUGAUAUUUUUAAGCCACAAUUGUGCUAGAUUUGACUGCACGUUAUCUCUGGGUACAUCCAGACUACCUGGCGGAUCGGCAGGUAGUGAUUGAUCCCCGAAUGUGCUCCCGUUGACUCCGGAAUGCCACGAGAGGCCAUCGAUCUCGCGCCGUGAGGACAGGAGGUAAGUCAAAAUAAGAUAUGAAGACUUCACCUACAGUAUUCCCAUAGCUGAAGUUGCGUAUCUUACAUCGACCCCCUCCUCUCCUCCAGUGUAGACCAGGCCUCCAAGAGGCAAAAGGAGCCCCAGUGGCUGAGAGGUGAAACCAAAUUCAGACUGGGAACAAGGGAAACAUUUUUCACGGCAGGAUGGCCAACUCUGGAGAUUUUCGUUGCCACUGGCACUCGUACUAAAGCCCCGGUGUCGUGUGAUGACGGGGGAAUCUCAGUUGUCAAAUUGUUGUUUAAAAUCCAAGUUUUGAGUUGACAGACACGCUCCAAAGUGCAGUGUUAGCGAAAUGGAAGGCCAAUAACCUAACAUUUGGUAUAUUUUAAAGCUGAUCUCAUGGACUUUCAAGGCUCAGCGUCAGCAACAUGAAAGAUGCAACAGAUUCUCCAUAGCUUGGCAUCAUUUAGCUUGACGUUGGCUGUGUCUCCACGGGCUACCCUCUUGCUCAAACUCAAGGUAAUGCAGAAAUCAUGGGGGGAGGGGGUGGGCAGGGAAAUUCUCUGGGUUGUGUCAGACUGGAUGAUCUCUUCAGGCCUUUAAUGUCUAAUGAAAUGAAACGUCUUCAGUCUGCAUAUACACAAUCAAACUAUCUGAAAAGCCUGGCUGGUGAGUCUACGUUAGCAAAAUCACGCCUGGAGUUAAAAGAUCUGGGUUGUUUUAAACCAUUGCCUUGCUAAAGAUGUGCUUUAGAGAAAUGUAAAUCACGGGGUAAAGUUCAGGGUGAAACUCUCUGGCUCGUGCUAUGCAAGAUAGCCCGCUUGAGGGGGGAAGGCUUAGCAGUUAGGCGCUGGCUUUAAUGAAGCACAUUAGGACAGACAUUGAAAGCCGGAAGAAUCGGACAAUUCAUUUGCUUUCGAAUGAACAAAAAAGAGAAAGACUUCAAACAAAUAGAUUAAAAAAAUCAGAAGCAAACGCCCAGAAGUGACUCUCCAAUGCUCCGUGACCAGGCUGGGGGUGGGAGGGAAAAGCGCAUUCAGAGGGAAAAAAGCGACUCAGCAGGCAAAAGGCAAUGACCAUCGGGUUCCUCAGUUAAUAUUUACACACAGGAGAAGGGAUGGAAAGAACAAAUGGCAAAACAGACCCAGAGGAAGGGAAGGGGAGCGGGGGUGGGGUGUUCCUGUUAACGAAUGGGGCCUGGGAUCCUGCUGAAACUGACUUGCCCAUUGAAACGGAUGUGGCUGUGAAAGCUUUUAACUUGAUGCACCUGCUUAAAUCUGAAGCCACACCCUGUUCUCGUUAAGUCCUUCGCUAAAGCAAGCUGGCCCAUGGACCCCGACGGAUCGAUGCCCGGCCCAGAUUUACACGAAGCAGCCAAGGGCGCACUGAGUCCGAUCCGAAGGCAGAGACGCUCCGAAAGGAAGCGGUGGAUUGGCCUGAAACAUCAGCUCUAGAUUGGCCGCGCCAGCCAGCCACAGGUUUUUAGGCUCCAGGAAGGGAUCAGAUGAGACACUUGAAAUCCCAUUGACUUUUCCUGCUAGUCGGCAGGUCGGCAUCUCAAAGGCAGGCUCACGUGUCGUGCUGAGCAGGGAUGGAUUUGGGCGCACAGGACUGGAGAGGCGAUGGCAGCAAAUCCAUCCCAAAAGUGCUCUGGUCGAAUCAGCGCCCGCACGCACAAAGGCGAUGCCUGUCAUGUGUUUAUAAAAUCCAGAUCCUCGACUGUGGUUCCACUCAUUUCCACGGACAUCAAGGAAAUCAGGAGCCUAAAUAGCAUUGAUGAUCGGGGCCUAGCACAGCCAUCGCGGUCAUCCCCACGCUGGCUGCUUUGUUAAAUCCAGGGCCGCACAGAGAUCUGUUGGUGUUCAUGGGCACGCCUCACAUGGAUGAGGUGACGGGGUUGGGAGGGUGUCUCCUGCAGGGGUCAGUCCUGGGUCCGGUAUCAGCCCAGCUGACAUUGUCGCGAAUGACUUGGCUAAUGGAGUGGAGAGUGUGCUAUUCAAUUUGCAGAUGACCCGAGCGGGGAGGAGUGGAGGACAGGAUUCAAAUUCAAAACGCCCUUGACAAAUUGGAGAAUUGGUCUGUAGCCAUCACCGGGAGGUUCAAUACAGACACGUUCAAAGUCCUUCACUCAGGAAGGAAAAAAUCGAACACACCGCUACAAAACAAGGACUAAGUGGGUAGGGGGUCAGAUGGCUGGAAAGGCUCUGGGGCUGACAGUGGGUCACAAAUUGGAGCUGAAUCAGCAAUGGGAUGUAUUUGUGAAAAAAGGCAAAUGACGAAUAUCAUUCUAGGGUGUAUGAACAUGCGUGUCGUAGGUACAUGCAUGUCGUAGGUACAUGUGUGUCUUAGGUAAGACAUGGAAGGUGAUUGUCCUGCUCUGCUCGGGCCUCAGCUGGAGUCCUGUGACUUUAGACCAGACGGGGACAAAUUGCAGAGAGUCCAGAGGACAGCAACAGAAAUGAGAAAAAGUUUAGAAAACCUGACUUACGAGGGAAGGUUAUGGGGUUUGUGGAGUGGAAUCCUCCACCCUCGAUCCUCAGGGGGAAGGAUGCUGGUUCUUGGGGCGCUCCUGGGGGGCCUGGCUGAGCUCGGGGCUAGAGAAGAGGGGUGAUAUGUUCUUCUCCCAGUAGGUGGAAUUAUAUCUGCCCUGCAUAUACCCUGUCCAUGACGAAUGAAAGCAGCUCUCCACCUUCACAGCCGUGGGAGGUGAGUUCAUUUGUUGGGGUUUGUAUCAAGCUGGCCAUGAAGGGGUGUGUCUCUGUGUCUCUGUGUGUGAAAUGCUACCCCCUGCUGGAAGAAAUCAGGCCUGGUGUAUGCAAGCCCACACAUGCGUUUUGCACGCCGCCCCCUCCCCCUCCCAAAAUUGGUUCACUCUAUGGGUGGGCGAGUGCGUUUGCACCACCGCUCACUACUGUACAUCCUCAGCUCACUAUGUACAUGUGGAUGCGUGUGAUGUGGUGCUAUUUAACCGACCAAAACCAGCUCGCAGCUCCGAUCUGGAACAAAACAUUGGUUCCUCUUAGGUUCAGAAAGAGGGAAGGGAAAACUCUUUCGAUCCAAAAUGGAGCAAAUAAUACGGGACAGGGAUGGGAAAAUAGAGGGGCGAUAAAUCCAGACAGGAUCCCAGGUCAUGCGGUGAUUGGAAAACGAAUUUAUUUUGGCAGUUCUUUGAUAUGUUUUCAAGCAGCGAAAGGAGGGACAUGUCAGUGGGUUUUUUCUUUUUAGUUCAUUUGUCUUUUUAAAAAUGUUUUAGUGCCACACAGACGAAAAGGGGCUGAGGAAGAGACCGGAAGUGGAAACAGGAAAGGGAAGAAGGAAAGAAAAAUGAAGAGGUUAUUUGUCUGUUUCUUAGCAAACACACCACAGAUUACAGGAAAACAGCCCACACGGAAACAAUACACAGCUCAAUACCCCAAAAGGGAAGUUGAGGGACAUCAACAACGUGGUAGGAAUUUUUCUCCCGCAUUUGUUUUGUUUUUUUAGUCCUUUUUAACAUCUUUUUUUUGUUCGCUUUUGUGUUUUGUUUAAAAAAGAUCAAAAAAUCUAAGUUUGGUUUGUUCUUUUUUUUUUCUUUUUCGGAAGGUAGGCUGGGAAUGCAGACAUGGUGGAAUGGAGGUUGUGUAGGUAGGUAAAGGUGCUGUGAGCGCACACACAGAACACACACUAUAUAUCACAGCUAGACCCUGGGAACAAGCCGCAGCUGAUGUGAAUUGUUGGUAGUGAUAAAUCCACGGAACUAUCGUCAUUUGUACGAACUGUGAAUCUCGCUCUGUGUGUGUGUGUGUCUAGUAUAUUUUGACAUGCUAUACAUAGGCAUAUAGUAUAUUUGUGAUAUGUGUGUAUACAUAGUUACACACAUAUAUAGUAUAGCUACUAUAUAUAUGGGACUGUAGAUAUACGCUUACACAUAAAAGGACACACAGAGGACAUUUUAUAUAUAUAUGUGUGUGUGCAUAUAUAUGCAUAUAUACAGUAGCUAAACAUCUGUAGUAAAUUUACUAUAUAUGUAUGUGUGUAUUUAUUUAUAUACAACAUAUAUAUUAUACACACAGUAAAUAUAUAAUGCAUAUAUUUUUAUAUAAAGAUAUAGACAUGUAGAGUAUAUUUCCUACACGUAUGUAUGUGUGUGUGUAUAUAUCAAUCUAAAUAGCUACACAUAUAUAUAU